Molecule: ribosomal RNA, 253 nt
Filed under: uncultured bacterium
Lineage: Bacteria
Description: partial 16S ribosomal RNA
Rfam family: Bacterial small subunit ribosomal RNA
Source: RNAcentral
UACGAAGGGGGCUAGCGUUGUUCGGAAUUACUGGGCGUAAAGCGCACGUAGGCGGAUUGUUAAGUCAGAGGUGAAAUCCCGGAGCUCAACUUCGGAACUGCCUUUGGUACUGGCAAUCUAGAGUCCGGAAGAGGUUAGUGGAAUUCCCAGUGUAGAGGUGAAAUUCGUAGAUAUUGGGAAGAACACCAGUGGCGAAGGCGGCUAACUGGUCCGGUACUGACGCUGAGGUGCGAAAGCGUGGGGAGCAAACAGG